RNAcentral lists this ribosomal RNA (494 nucleotides) under uncultured bacterium. RNAcentral's name for it is "partial 16S ribosomal RNA". It matches the Rfam family "Bacterial small subunit ribosomal RNA", at positions 28 to 506 of the family's 1533-position model. The record is from RNAcentral.
GACGAACGCUGGCGGCGUGCCUAAUACAUGCCAGUAGAACGCUGAAGGAGGAGCUUGCUUCUCUGGAUGAGUUGCGAACGGGUGAGUAACGCGUAGGUAACCUGCCUGGUAGCGGGGGAUAACUAUUGGAAACGAUAGCUAAUACCGCAUAAUAGUAGAUGUUGCAUGACAUUUGCUUAAAAGGUGCAAUUGCAUCACUACCAGAUGGACCUGCGUUGUAUUAGCUAGUUGGUGGGGUAACGGCUCACCAAGGCGACGAUACAUAGCCGACCUGAGAGGGUGAUCGGCCACACUGGGACUGAGACACGGCCCAGACUCCUACGGGGGGCAGCAGUAGGGAAUCUUCGGCAAUGGACGGAAGUCUGACCGAGCAACGCCGCGUGAGUGAAGAAGGUUUUCGGAUCGUAAAGCUCUGUUGUAAGAGAAGAACGAGUGUGAGAGUGGAAAGUUCACACUGUGACGGUAUCUUACCAGAAAGGGACGGCUAACUACGU